This 497-nucleotide ribosomal RNA is filed under the name uncultured bacterium. Its description in RNAcentral is "partial 16S ribosomal RNA". It matches the Rfam family "Bacterial small subunit ribosomal RNA", at positions 28 to 507 of the family's 1533-position model. The record is from RNAcentral.
GAUGAACGCUGGCGGCGUGCCUAAUACAUGCAAGUCGAGCGAACGGACGAGAAGCUUGCUUCUCUGAUGUUAGCGGCGGACGGGUGAGUAACACGUGGAUAACCUACCUAUGAGACUGGGAUAACUUCGGGAAACCGGAGCUAAUACCGGAUAAUAUUUUGAACCGCAUGGUUCAAAAGUGAAAGACGGUCUUGCUGUCACUUAUAGAUGGAUCCGCGCUGCAUUAGCUAGUUGGUAAGGUAACGGCUUACCAAGGCAACGAUGCAUAGCAGACCUGAGAGGGUGAUCGGCCACACUGGAACUGAGACACGGUCCAGACUCCUACGGGAGGCAGCAGUAGGGAAUCUUCCGCAAUGGGCGAAAGCCUGACGGAGCAACGCCGCGUGAGUGAUGAAGGUCUUCGGAUCGUAAAACUCUGUUAUUAGGGAAGAACAUAUGUGUAAGUAACUGUGCACAUCUUGACGGUACCUAAUCAGAAAGCCACGGCUAACUACGUG